Molecule: ribosomal RNA, 304 nt
Filed under: uncultured bacterium
Lineage: Bacteria
Description: partial 16S ribosomal RNA
Rfam family: Bacterial small subunit ribosomal RNA
Source: RNAcentral
CAGCAGCAGCCGCGGGAAUACGUAGGUGGCAAGCGUUAUCCGGAAUUAUUGGGCGUAAAGGGCUCGCAGGCGGUUUCUUAAGUCUGAUGUGAAAGCCCCCGGCUCAACCGGGGAGGGUCAUUGGAAACUGGGAAACUUGAGUGCAGAAGAGGAGAGUGGAAUUCCACGUGUAGCGGUGAAAUGCGUAGAGAUGUGGAGGAACACCAGUGGCGAAGGCGACUCUCUGGUCUGUAACUGACGCUGAGGAGCGAAAGCGUGGGGAGCGAACAGGAUUAGAUACCCCUGUAGUCCCUGUCUCUUAUAC